RNAcentral lists this ribosomal RNA (1075 nucleotides) under uncultured Symbiodinium. Its description in RNAcentral is "partial Bacterial large subunit ribosomal RNA". It matches the Rfam family "Bacterial large subunit ribosomal RNA", at positions 12 to 1128 of the family's 2925-position model. Lineage: Eukaryota; Dinophyceae; Suessiales; Symbiodiniaceae. The record is from RNAcentral.
UAAGGGUGCAUGGUGGAUGCCUAGGCGUUCAGAGGCGACGAAAGACGUGUGAGCCUGCGAUAAGCUCCGGGGAGUUGGCAACAAAGCUUUGAUCCGGAGAUCUCUGAAUGGGGAAACCUGUUACCGCCCAAUAAGCGGUUUCACUGGCGGGUGAAUGUAUAGUCCGUCAGAGUCAACCCGGGGAACUGAAACAUCUCAGUACCCGGAGGAAAGGACAUCAACCGAGACUCCGCUAGUAGUGGCGAGCGAACGCGGACCAGGCCAGUGGCCAGAGAGUAAGAACCGGAAGCGUCUGGAAAGGCGCGCCUUAGUGGGUGAUAGCCCCGUACGGGUAGAAAGCUCUUUGGUCCUCGAGUAGGGCGGGACACGUGAAAUCCUGCCUGAACGUGGGGGGACCACCCUCCAAGCCUAAGUACUCCUGUGCGACCGAUAGUGAACCAGUACCGUGAGGGAAAGGUGAAAAGCACCCCGACGAGGGGAGUGAAACAGUUCCUGAAACUGGAUGCCUACAAACAGUUGGAGCCCAAGGUUCGUCCUGGGUGACAGCGUACCUUUUGUAUAAUGGGUCAGCGAGUUAAUUUUGCGAGCAAGCUUAAGCCGUUAGGUGUAGGCGUAGCGAAAGCGAGUCUUAAUAGGGCGACUAAGUUUGUUGGAUUAGACCCGAAACCGAGUGAUCUAGGUAUGAGCAGGUUGAAGGUGCAGUAACAUGCACUGGAGGACCGAACCCACGCCUGUUGAAAAAGGCGGGGAUGACUUGUGCCUAGGGGUGAAAGGCCAAUCAAACUCGGAAAUAGCUGGUUCUCCGCGAAAUCUAUUUAGGUAGAGCGUUAGAUGAAUACCAUCGGGGGUAGAGCACUGGAUGGGCUAGGGGGUCUCACCGACUUACCAAACCUAACCAAACUCCGAAUACCGAUGAGUAAUAUCUGGCAGACACACUACGGGUGCUAAGGUCCGUAGUGGAAAGGGAAACAGCCCUGACCGCCAGCUAAGGUCCCUAAGUUAUGGCUAAGUGGGAAAGGAUGUGAGAGUGCAUAGACAACCAGGAUGUUGGCUUAGAAGCAGCCAUCAUUUAAAG